This 464-nucleotide ribosomal RNA is filed under the name uncultured bacterium. RNAcentral describes it as "partial 16S ribosomal RNA". It matches the Rfam family "Bacterial small subunit ribosomal RNA", at positions 28 to 506 of the family's 1533-position model. The record is from RNAcentral.
GACGAACGCUGGCGGCGUGCUUAACACAUGCAAGUCGAACGGAAAGGCCCCUUUGGGGGUCCUCGAGUGGCGAACGGGUGAGUAACACGUGAGUAACCUGCCCUUGACUUCGGGAUAACUUCAGGAAACUGGGGCUAAUACCGGAUAGGAAUCCUUGCUGCAUGGUGGGGGUUGGAAAGCUUCGGCGGUUUUGGAUGGACUCGCGGCUUAUCAGCUUGUUGGUGGGGUAGUGGCUUACCAAGGCUUUGACGGGUAGCCGGCAUGAGAGGGCGACCGGCCACAUUGGGACUAAGAUACGGCCCAGACUCCAACGGGAGGCAGCAGUGGAGAAUAUUGCACAAUGGGCGGAAGCAUGAUGCAGCAACGCCGCGUGCGGGAUGACGGCCUUCGGGUUGUAAACCGCUUUCAGCAGGGGCGAAGCUUGUGGUGACGGUCCCUGCAGGAGAAGCACCGGCUAACUACGG